UACGUAGGGUGCAAGCGUUAAUCGGAAUUACUGGGCGUAAGCGCACGUAGGCGGUUUUUUAAGUCAGAUGUGAAAGCCCCGGGCUCAACCUGGGAAUUGCAUUUGAAACUGGGGAACUAGAGUGUGUGAGAGGGGGGUAGAAUUCCAAGUGUAGCGGUGAAAUGCGUAGAGAUUUGGAGGAAUACCAGUGGCGAAGGCGGCCCCCUGGCACAACACUGACGCUCAGGUGCGAAAGCGUUGGGAGCAAACAGG
Molecule: ribosomal RNA, 252 nt
Filed under: uncultured bacterium
Lineage: Bacteria
Description: partial 16S ribosomal RNA
Rfam family: Bacterial small subunit ribosomal RNA
Source: RNAcentral